Molecule: ribosomal RNA, 253 nt
Filed under: uncultured bacterium
Lineage: Bacteria
Description: partial 16S ribosomal RNA
Rfam family: Bacterial small subunit ribosomal RNA
Source: RNAcentral
UACGUAGGGGGCAAGCGUUAUCCGGAUUUACUGGGUGUAAAGGGAGCGUAGACGGCCAGACAAGUCUGAAGUGAAAAUCCAGCGCUUAACGUUGGAAGUGCUUUGGAAACUGCCGGGCUAGAGUGCAGGGGGGGCAGGCGGAAUUCCUAGUGUAGCGGUGAAAUGCGUAGAUAUUAGGAGGAACACCAGUGGCGAAGGCGACCUGCUGGACUGCAACUGACGUUGAGGCUCGAAAGCGUGGGGAGCAAACAGG